CGCCAGACUCCUACGGGAGGCAGCAGUGGGGAAUAUUGCACAAUGGGGGAAACCCUGAUGCAGCGACGCCGCGUGAGUGAAGAAGUAUUUCGGUAUGUAAAGCUCUAUCAGCAGGGAAGAAAAUGACGGUACCUGAUUAAGAAGCCCCGGCUAACUACGUGCCAGCAGCCGCGGUAAUACGUAGGGGGCAAGCGUUAUCCGGAUUUACUGGGUGUAAAGGGAGCGUAGACGGUGAUGCAAGUCAGAAGUGAAAGCCCGGGGCUCAACUCCGGGACUGCUUUUGAAACUGUGUAACUGGGGUGCAGGAGAGGUAAGCGGAAUUCCUGGUGUAGCGGUGAAAUGCGUAGAUAUCAGGAGGAACACCAGUGGCGAAGGCGGCUUACUGGACUGUAACUGACGUUGAGGCUCGAAAGCGUGGGGAGCAAACAGGAUUAGAUACCCCCGUA
RNAcentral lists this ribosomal RNA (446 nucleotides) under uncultured bacterium. Its description in RNAcentral is "bacterial SSU rRNA". It matches the Rfam family "Bacterial small subunit ribosomal RNA", at positions 329 to 792 of the family's 1533-position model. The record is from RNAcentral.